Molecule: ribosomal RNA, 483 nt
Filed under: uncultured bacterium
Lineage: Bacteria
Description: bacterial SSU rRNA
Rfam family: Bacterial small subunit ribosomal RNA
Source: RNAcentral
AUGAAACACUCCUACGGGAGGCAGCAGUGGGGAAUCUUCCGCAAUGGGCGCAAGCCUGACGGAGCAACGCCGCGUGAGUGAAGUAGGUCUUCGGAUCUUAAAGCUCUGUUGAUGGGGACGAACGUACGGAGUGCGAAUAGUGCUCUGUAAUGACGGUACCCAUCGAGGAAGCCACGGCUAACUACGUGCCAGCAGCCGCGGUAAUACGUAGGUGGCGAGCGUUGUCCGGAAUCAUUGGGCGUAAAGGGAGCGCAGGCGGGCAUAUAAGUCUUUCUUAAAAGUUCGGGGCUCAACCCCGUGAUGGGAAAGAAACUAUGUGUCUUGAGUACAGGAGAGGAAAGCGGAAUUCCCAGUGUAGCGGUGAAAUGCGUAGAUAUUGGGAGGAACACCAGUGGCGAAGGCGGCUUUCUGGACUGCAACUGACGCUGAGGCUCGAAAGCCAGGGGAGCGAACGGGAUUAGAAACCCGUGUAGUCCGAAGUUC